Molecule: ribosomal RNA, 592 nt
Filed under: Staphylococcus aureus
Lineage: Bacteria; Bacillati; Bacillota; Bacilli; Caryophanales; Staphylococcaceae
Description: partial 23S ribosomal RNA
Rfam family: Bacterial large subunit ribosomal RNA
Source: RNAcentral
GUCGCCUCCUAAAAGGUAACGGAGGCGCUCAAAGGUUCCCUCAGAAUGGUUGGAAAUCAUUCAUAGAGUGUAAAGGCAUAAGGGAGCUUGACUGCGAGACCUACAAGUCGAGCAGGGUCGAAAGACGGACUUAGUGAUCCGGUGGUUCCGCAUGGAAGGGCCAUCGCUCAACGGAUAAAAGCUACCCCGGGGAUAACAGGCUUAUCUCCCCCAAGAGUUCACAUCGACGGGGAGGUUUGGCACCUCGAUGUCGGCUCAUCGCAUCCUGGGGCUGUAGUCGGUCCCAAGGGUUGGGCUGUUCGCCCAUUAAAGCGGUACGCGAGCUGGGUUCAGAACGUCGUGAGACAGUUCGGUCCCUAUCCGUCGUGGGCGUAGGAAAUUUGAGAGGAGCUGUCCUUAGUACGAGAGGACCGGGAUGGACAUACCUCUGGUGUACCAGUUGUCGUGCCAACGGCAUAGCUGGGUAGCUAUGUGUGGACGGGAUAAGUGCUGAAAGCAUCUAAGCAUGAAGCCCCCCUCAAGAUGAGAUUUCCCAACUUCGGUUAUAAGAUCCCUCAAAGAUGAUGAGGUUAAUAGGUUCGAGGUGGAAGCA